GAAAUGCGAUACGUAGUGUGAAUUGCAGAAUCCAGCGAACCAUCGAAGCCUUGAACGCACACUGCACCUGCAGGCGAACUGCAGGUACACCUGUUCGAGCGUCGGCUCAACAUCACCCCAAGCGCCCCUCCAAGGGGGAGCGCGAGGGCGUGGACAUGGGUGUCCGCCCGGUAACCUGGGCGGUCGCCUCGAAUCACAGCACCGGUGCUGCGACGUACCAGCCCUGCCACAGCUGCGAGGAGUUGAAUCCAACUGGCUGAACGGGAGGAAGUCGAUGGUCGUCGCCUGCCACCCAGGUGAAAGCAGGAGGGGAGCUCCGGCUCCCCCUCGAGGGUACAACCUAAAUCCUCGACCUCGAAUCAGGUGAGAUCACCCGCUGAACUUAA
Molecule: unclassified non-coding RNA, 386 nt
Filed under: uncultured Ascomycota
Lineage: Eukaryota; Fungi; Ascomycota
Description: sequence contains ITS1
Rfam family: 5.8S ribosomal RNA (bases 1-104)
Source: RNAcentral